This 391-nucleotide ribosomal RNA is filed under the name Triparma sp. RNAcentral's name for it is "partial small subunit ribosomal RNA". It matches the Rfam family "Eukaryotic small subunit ribosomal RNA", at positions 582 to 975 of the family's 1831-position model. The record is from RNAcentral. Lineage: Eukaryota; Bolidophyceae; Parmales; Triparmaceae.
AUUCCAGCUCCAAUAGCGUAUAUUAAAGUUGUUGCAGUUAAAAAGCUCGUAGUUGGAUUUCUGGUGAGUUCGUUUGGCCGGCCGUAAAGGUCUGUGCCGAAAUGUUAUUCGCCAUCCUUGGUGUAAUCUUGUCCGCCAUUAAGUUGUGUGGGCUUGAGGAUGCCAUCGUUUACUGUGAAAAAAUUAGAGUGUUCAAAGCAGGCUUAUGCCGUUGAAUACAUUAGCAUGGAAUAAUAAGAUAGGACCCUGGUACUAUUUUGUUGGUUUGCGUACCUAGGUAAUGAUUAAUAGGGACAGUUGGGGGUAUUUGUAUUCCGUUGUCAGAGGUGAAAUUCUUGGAUUUACGGAAGACAAACCACUGCGAAAGCAUUUACCAAGGAUGUUUUCAUCA